This 64-nucleotide transfer RNA is filed under the name Lygodactylus bradfieldi. RNAcentral describes it as "tRNA-Trp". Lineage: Eukaryota; Metazoa; Chordata; Lepidosauria; Squamata; Gekkonidae. The record is from RNAcentral.
AAAUUUAGGUUCACAAAACCGAGGGCCUUCAAAGCCCUAAACAGGGCCCACCCCCUAAUUUCUG